CUUUGCUUAGCAUCUCCCCAAAUCCUCACCGCUUAUUUUUCCCAGCUCUUUUUGGUUAUAGUUUAGCUGAGGACACUGCUUGCUGCAGCCUGCUCUCCAUUCUAUGCUGGAAUCUACCAUCUUCCUGCAGUGGCUCCAGUUAAACCCUGCUCCUGUGUCUCAGCAUGUUUAUACUAUGCUGCUAUGGUGGUCAUAUAAGCAAUGUCAGUCUAUUUGGACCGUCCCUUGGUAACAAUGAAAGCACAGUAUAAACAACUGAGUUGGUUAAAAAUGGACUGGGUUGAGAAUCCUAGUGCCAGGACCCUUAUAGUUGUACAGGCUUGAGCUGAUAAGGACUUCUCAUCCUACUACAUCUCCUCCUACUGUCUUACUAGAGAGUUACUUAGGAAUGUAAUGCAUUGCGAUUUAAGAGAUAAUUUCCUAAAUCUUCCAGAUAAGAUACUGCCUAUAUACUUUGCCUAUAAUUUCAUCUAGAUCUGGCUUUUUAAAAUUUGUUUUUUUGUGUGUGUAUGUGUGUGUGUUUUUUUUAAGAAUAAACAGUACAUUGUCAUUUUUGCAUUUGAUCCUUCCUCCUGGAUCCUUCCUCAAUCCAAUCAUAUUAAAAUACUUCUUAUUCUCCAAGUGCACCAUUUUCUUUAACCAAAUGACCUUUGCUGAUAUACUUUCGUAUGCUUUUGAUAUCUUCAGCUAGCUUAAUAGUCUUUAGCUAGCUAAUGUAUAUUAGCUAUUCAUACCAGUUAUGAAUUCAGGUGAAUUAUGCCCUUUGUUUAUUAUGCAGUGUCAUUUUAGUCUAACUGAAAUAUUUUGGCAUAAAAAAUCUUAAUUAUGUUAAGAUCUUUAUGCCUGUCUCACUUUUUGGUAAUCUAAAGAAAGACAGAUACCAGAGCCUGGUUUCUUUAGUAUGAAACAAUUUGUUAUGUUUAGAGUCAAAUUUUAAAAAUCAUGUCUUUGACAAUUUUCAGGAGUUUAAUAUGUGUCUACACUGUUUGCCUUAGUUUGCAGUUGUGUCACUGUGAAUAAUUGACUUUGCUGAUUAACAUCAAUGUCAAAUUUUUUUUGUAAAGGUAUUGUCAUAUCUUCACUUGUUACCUUUUAAGGCUUUAUUACAAGUGUCCUUGAAAAAACACAUUUUAAGUGUCAAACUGUCAUUUUUAAAUUUUAAUAAUUAUAACAAUUCAUAUUCUUAUUCUGCACGUAUGCAAGUUAUAUAAAACAUUUACCAAAUUUACCAGAAAUGUUUGUCCAUUAAAACUAUUAUUAAGUUUGUGAAUUCCAAUGUUUUUUAGAAAGUGAAGUAAUUACGUCUAUCCUUAGUGAGGUAUAUUCAAGGAAUAAUAAACCCUAAGGCUGGUUUUGAUGUCCUAGUCCUAAGAAGUAGUCUUCCCUAUGGAAGAAUGAGAGAAAGGGAGAAGAGAAAAGAAAGGGAAAAUGAUCUGGGAAGGUAUUAAGUUGACUCCAGAAAAAUUGGCUGUAUUAAAGAUUAAGGUGAAUUUUUGUGACUUAAGAUUUACAUAUAUAAGUA
This 1522-nucleotide long non-coding RNA is filed under the name Homo sapiens (human). Its description in RNAcentral is "HSALNT0163588". The record is from RNAcentral. Lineage: Eukaryota; Metazoa; Chordata; Mammalia; Primates; Hominidae.